GCUUUUAAAAACAUUUAUCAUGUAGUGGAGCUGCAUUAGUGUUGCUCUCCACUUUCUGGAGGAUCGAGUUUUGAAAUAAGUGGAAUUAGAGAAUGAUCGCUAAAGAGAUGGAGAAAAAACCUGUCUCCGGAUUACAUCUCCAAACAAAGGGCAACCGUGCAUGGCAUCCGUGACAGGGAGACAAGUCCAUCAUGCAUGAUGAUGUAUGCAGAUCCAUUUGCUUCAUCCACCAGCAGAUUCAUGCAAGGAUAUACCACAAAACCCCAAGGAAUCUCCAAAUGCUAUGUUGAACGAGCACCAUGGAUGAAGGAGGGGGAGGAAAACUGACAGCUUCUCUCUACCACACCUUCACCAAGUCAUACGUUUGCCUCAUGAACAAUUGUAACAUCUUCUGAAAUAAAUACAGAAUUAUUGUAGUUAAUUCUGUUUCUAAUGUUUUUUAUGCUGGAUGUGAGUAAUUUGGCAAGUCUAUAGUAUAAUGUAUUGAUUUGGAAUGUUUAUUAAAUAUCUAUUCUGUCACAACUCAA
Molecule: long non-coding RNA, 527 nt
Organism: Coregonus clupeaformis (lake whitefish)
Lineage: Eukaryota; Metazoa; Chordata; Actinopteri; Salmoniformes; Salmonidae
Exons: 3
Source: RefSeq, a predicted model, not a curated record